AGAGUUUGAUCCUGGCUCAGAUUGAACGCUGGCGGCAUGCCUUACACAUGCAAGUCGAACGGCAGCGGACCUUCGGGUGCCGGCGAGUGGCGAACGGGUGAGUAAUGUAUCGGAACGUACCUUUCAGUGGGGGAUAACGUAGCGAAAGUUACGCUAAUACCGCAUAUUCUGUGAGCAGGAAAGCAGGGGAUCGCAAGACCUUGCGCUGAUUGAGCGGCCGAUAUCAGAUUAGCUAGUUGGUGAGGUAAAGGCUCACCAAGGCGACAAUCUGUAGCGGGUCUGAGAGGAUGAUCCGCCACACUGGAACUGAGACACGGUCCAGACUCCUACGGGAGGCAGCAGUGGGGAAUUUUGGACAAUGGGGGCAACCCUGAUCCAGCCAUGCCGCGUGAGUGAAGAAGGCCUUCGGGUUGUAAAGCUCUUUCGGCCGGGAAGAAAUCGCAUGGGUUAAUACCCUGUGCGGAUGACGUACCGGCAUAA
This 480-nucleotide ribosomal RNA is filed under the name uncultured bacterium. Its description in RNAcentral is "bacterial SSU rRNA". It matches the Rfam family "Bacterial small subunit ribosomal RNA", at positions 8 to 486 of the family's 1533-position model. The record is from RNAcentral.